Non-coding RNA from Macaca mulatta (Rhesus monkey), 228 nucleotides. Lineage: Eukaryota; Metazoa; Chordata; Mammalia; Primates; Cercopithecidae. The record is from RefSeq and is a predicted model, not a curated record.
UCCGGUGCCGCCUCAUGGACAAAAUGAGCAACACUAGCACUGCGAGGAAGAAAAAGGAGAGUCUGUUUACCGAGGAGAUGUGGCUGUGUGCGCGCUAGUGAACAGUGACCGUUUGACAGCACUGCAGAAUAAGACCCCAGUUCAUCCAAGGGGAAAAAGUGGAGUACAUUCGUACAUGCAGUAAAGGAUUACAGACUAAUAAAACUCACAACAGUGAUUUAAAAAUUU